Molecule: transfer RNA, 69 nt
Filed under: Ovis aries (sheep)
Lineage: Eukaryota; Metazoa; Chordata; Mammalia; Artiodactyla; Bovidae
Rfam family: tRNA
About the family: Transfer RNA (tRNA) molecules are approximately 80 nucleotides in length. Their secondary structure includes four short double-helical elements and three loops (D, anti-codon, and T loops).
Source: Rfam by way of RNAcentral
CCUGGUGGCUGAGGUGGUAAAGCAUCUGCCUGCAAUGCAGGAGACCUUGGUUCGAUCCCUGGGUCAGGA